CAAAUGUUCUUCUUAAUUGAAAUUGAUAGCGCAAACAGGCGGCUAUGGGAGUUCCCCUUGGCACCAGUUGAUUUUUUGUAAUUCGUAAGUGCAAUUGAUAGAGCAACAGAAGCAAGGGUUUCGCACCAAUUGAUCUUCUAUUGCAGUGAUUUCUACUCAAUUUCUUCAUCCCAAGGGAAUCGGCGAAGGUGGGUGGACGUAGGGGGGCAGGGACGGACAAUGAGGGUAAGGGAUGAGAAAAUGAAUUAGACGAGGCUAUGAGGGAGAUAGGGCUGGGGGAUAUGGGACAGAGUUGAGGAAAGAGGAAACGAGACGAGUGGAAGGGUUUCUCUGGGCACAUCUUGUGUUGCAGUGAUUUCUACUCAACUUCUUCAUCUCCAAACUUGGAAGUAGCGAUUUCUCUUGAAAAUGUCCUCUUGAAAUUUUGAUGGGGUUGUAUGUGAUUUUCUCCUUGCCUUUGGAACCGGCUGCCCCUCAAGUGCAAUAGUCCGGCCAUUGGAGAGUGUAGUAAAAAGGGCAUCAGACUCAGAAAUGGAGCAAACUUGCUCUCAACCAGGCGCUGCAGCUUCCUCAUGUCUCCAUAUUCUGUUGCCUUCUAGACGUCAUUCUGCAGGCUCUCAUCAUCCACUGGCUGCUUCUGAUAUCUCAAUUCCACUUCUUCCACUACCUCGACUUCCAAUGCCAUAUUAAAUAUUCGAAAAGUGGGAUUUUUUCUUGGGAACUCAGAAUAUUCUUCAAAGCAAUAAAUUGAUCAAAGAAUUUAGUUAAUAUAGGGGUUUUCUUGGUAGGAGAGGUAGUUGACUGGAUUGGUAUAAGGGAUUGAAGAAACAGUGGAAGUCAGAAGAAGCCAACUCCCUGUGUUUCGGAACUUCUACUACAAAUAUGUUUUGCUGUCUAGGACAUUGAGGGAAAAAAUAAUGAAAGAUAUAUUGGGGGUUAUUAGUUCUUUUUGCUCUUAAUAAUUAUUGAGGCUCCUCGCACUUGGAGAAAGAUAAAAGUACGAUUUACACAGCAAUUGAUACGUUUUAUCUGACAGAAGAAGAGCUACAGAAAUCGCCCUCUAGGAGAGAUGGGAUAGAUGAAGCUAUAGAAAUGACACUUCGAAUCUAUGGUUGUGAUCUCAUUCAAGAGAGCGGUAUUUUGCUCAAAUUGCCUCAAGCUGUGAUGGCCACUGGUCAGGUCUUAUUCCAUCGUUUCUUCUGCAAGAAGUCAUUUGCUAGAUUUAACGUGAAGAGGGUUGCUGCGAGUUGUGUAUGGCUUGCUUCAAAACUCGAAGAAAGUCCUAGGAAAGCAAGGCAAGUCUUCAUUGUUUUUCACAGGAUGGAAUGUAGAAGGGAAAACUUACCCAUAGAGCAUCUGGACACAUAUUCUAAGAAAUAUGUGGUUCUGAAGGUAGAUUUGAUCAGAACAGAGAGGCAUCUUUUGAAAGAAAUGGGUUUCAUCUGCCAUGUUGAGCAUCCUAAUAAGUUUAUAUCGAAUUAUCUUGCUACUCUUGGAACUCCUCCAGUACUGAGACAAGAAGCUUGGAAUCUUGCAAAUGAUAGCUUGCACACAACUUUGUGUGUUAGAUUCAAGAGUGAAGUUGUAGCCUGUGGUGUUGUAUAUGCUGCAGCUCGAAGAUUUCAAGUGUCACUGCCAGAGAGUCCUCCUUGGUGGAAAGCAUUUGAUGCUGAUAAGUCUGGUAUAGAUGAGGUUUGUAGAGUACUGGCCCACCUAUACACCCUUCCAAAGGCACAUUAUAUACCUGUAUGCAAGGAACGGGGUUUAUUUUCAACAUCUAAUCGAUCAUGGGAUUCACCACAUGAGUUUGUUGCCAAGGAUCGUUCCUUGACUGGACCAGCUGCAAAUGAAGAUAGUAGUACCGCAAAAGGGUCCUCUUCAGCUGCAAAUCAGGAAGUGGGUAAGGAUGUACUAGUAAAAGCUGCUUAUGACAAGAUUGAGGAGUUGAAGAGUGCCGAUGACUCUAAAAGCUUGCCCACCGGUGAAGAGUCGAGAAAAGAUUCAGAGUCUAAAUUGAUGUCUGAUCAUCGAACAGAGGUUGGUGGUGAAAGCAAUAAGGGAAGGGACAGAGACAGGGUUAGGAACAGGGACAGGGACACGGAUAGGGAGAAAGAGAGAACAAAGAGCAGAGAUCAUGAUAGAGGGCGAGAAUCUGAUAAGGAACAAGGACGCGCGGAUAGUGAAAGGGAAAGAGAUAAGGUCAAGGAAAGGGUUCACCAUUCGAGGGACAAAGGAAAAGACUCUGGACGUUUCGAGAAAUUAAAACAUCACUCUUCUCGAGAUCGAGAAUACCACAGCUCAUCUUACUCAUCAAGGGAGGACCGCCGCAAACAUCAUUCGUAUGCAUAAACUGAGUUGAAAGCACUUAGUCUCACUCGAUCAUACUAUAACGGCAUUCUUGGAAAAGUGUAAUGGUCAAUGAAGUGGAAUGAAAGAGGGAGCUUAUUCAUAUUCAAUGUUAGAUGAGUCAGUAUGCAACAACCGCAAGGAAAAAUGAGGUUAUGUCGUUCCAAUCAAUGAGAAAUUCAUGGAUGUAUGCAGAGUUGACGAAUUUUUGAAUUUAUCGACAUUGAGGGGGGAGAACUUAGGUUAUUCCUCUUGCUGUAUAUGAAACAAAAAAUUAAAUGCUCGUUUCUAACAUUUCAAAAUGAUGUAAUGAGAGAGAAGCAAAAAUUAUAAAAGAAAACAAAAGAAAGAGUAACCCAAUGAUGAGUCUAUUUUUACUACUUUUUA
Molecule: RNA transcript, 2733 nt
Organism: Olea europaea var. sylvestris
Lineage: Eukaryota; Viridiplantae; Streptophyta; Magnoliopsida; Lamiales; Oleaceae
Gene name: cyclin-L1-1-like
Exons: 14
Source: RefSeq, a predicted model, not a curated record